This 446-nucleotide ribosomal RNA is filed under the name uncultured bacterium. RNAcentral's name for it is "partial 16S ribosomal RNA". It matches the Rfam family "Bacterial small subunit ribosomal RNA", at positions 338 to 795 of the family's 1533-position model. The record is from RNAcentral.
CCUACGGGAGGCAGCCGUAGGUAAUUUUCGGCAAUGGGGGGAACCCUGACCGAGCAACGCCGCGUGAACGAAGAAGUUAUUCGUAAUGUAAAGUUCUUUUAACAGGGAAGCACGAGAACUUUGACGGUACCUCAAGAAUAAGCUCCGGCUAACUACGUGCCAGCAGCCGCGGUCAUACGUAGGGAGCGAGCGUUAUCGGGAAUUAUUGGGCGUAAAGGGUGCGUAGAUGGCAUAGUAAGUCUUUUGUAAAAAUGCUGGGCUAAACCCAGUAGGGCAAAAGAUACUGCAAAGCUAGAGUAUGACAGAGGCAAGUGGAACUACAUGUGUAGCGGUAAAAUGCGUAAAUAUAUGUAAGAACACCAGUGGCGAAGGCGGCUUGCUGGGUCGAUACUGACAUUGAGGCACGAAAGCGUGGGGAGCAAACAGGAUUAGAUACCCUAGUAGUC